This 3267-nucleotide unclassified non-coding RNA is filed under the name Acromyrmex echinatior (Panamanian leafcutter ant). RNAcentral describes it as "uncharacterized LOC105148972, transcript variant X7". The record is from RNAcentral. Lineage: Eukaryota; Metazoa; Arthropoda; Insecta; Hymenoptera; Formicidae.
UUCCUUUUCUCUUCACGUUGGAAAGAAAAAGAAAAAAAAUGAAUCGUGCAAGAAGCUCAGCUAAAAAGAGGCCAAUUGCUUGAGAUAGUCUUAAGAACGGACUGUGGAUACCGGCUUGAAAGGAAAAAUUUCAAGUUAGCUAACCAUAUGUUUACAUACAAGUUAAUUCUAUAUAUAUUCUAUAUUGAAGAACUGAAUCGAAAAAAAGUGUCUCAUAACACCUCAAUUUCUUGUAGUGAAAUUGUCACAAAUUCACAUUAAGUAUGGGAAGAAACUAUGGUAGACAUGGUAGAUAUUUAACUCUCUGUAGUAAAAGACUUUCUAAAAAGAAAAAAUUUGUUUUAAGGCGACGACGUAAAAGAGAGAUGAUGGAACAAGCAGCCUUAGCAGCCAACUAUAUCGCUAACAAUAUUAUUAAAAGUGAAUCCAUUGAGUCAAUAGACUCAUUCAUAUCACCUGAAGCAAUGGAGUCAAACUCAUUCAUGUCAUCUGAAGUAAUGGAUUCGAAAGAAAUGAACACUUUAGAAACGAACCUAGGUACAAAGCCAAUGAAUUCAAAAGAAAUAAAUACUUUAGAAACGUACUUGGAAACAAGGCCAAUGAAUUCGAAAGAAAUAAAUACUUUAGAAACGUACCAGGAUAUAAGCCCAAUGAAUUCGAACGAAAUAAAUACUUUAGAAACGUAUUUGGAAACAAGGCCAAUGAAUUCAAAAAUAAUGAAUACUUUAGAAACGUACUUGGAUACAAAGCUAAAUAAAGAUAUAUAUGAAAAUGUCCGAAUUUGUGAAGAAGACGACAUUCCAGGUAUAAAUCGUAUCCAAGAGCAUGAGCCUGAAGGUGAUCGUAUUAUCAAUAUUUCUUUCUUUAUGAAAGAGAUGCAUCGGGUAUUUGAUGGUCAUGCACCAGGAUUUGAGUGCAAAUUUAAAGAUUGGAUACUUAUAAAUUCACGUCGCCGAGGAUUACUGACACAGUUCUUUUAUAAGUGUCAAACCUGUAGUUAUGAAGCAAACUUUUGGUCACAUCCCACAGACAAAAAAGUCUUUCUCAUCAGUACGGCUAUUACAGCUUCCAAUCAAAAUUCAAAGAUUGGAAUUAAUGCUGAACUGAAAGAACAAUUUGCCGCUGUAAAUCUACCGUGUUUGAAUGGGAAAAUAGAUAUCAGAUAAGAUAUUUAUUAAUCAAUGAUAUCGAAAUGACGAACAUUAAAAAUAUGAAACUAACAGGAAAUUAAAAAGCAAUUCAAUCGAAGAGAAAUGAAGUAAUUAGUGGCAUUUGUAUUGUUGCGUCCGAAUGAUACGACUAUUAAGUUUGAGCUGUUCAAUGAAUGAAGUAUCCUUCGGACGAAUCGUUCUUUUUAAGAAUAGAUAUCAUGGUUACUAACUGGAACUUUGAUUCGGACAUAUCGAAUUUAUCUCCAUACGUCCGGUUUCAAAUACUCACGAUCAUUUACACAGGUUGUAAUCUAUGUAAUAUAAACUUAUGCCAUAAUCCUGUAAGAAUUGAUCAAUUAUAGUCGAUUAUUCCUCUCUCAUUCAACUAUGAUCAAGUCUUACAGAUUAUGGUCAGUAUAAAUGAUCCUAAACUCACUGAAAUAUAAUAUUGAAACGCGCAUUUGCUGAUAUCGCAAUCCGAUAAAGAAGGUUCUAAAUGAUAUUUCUAUGAUAAAAGACAUCAUAUAUAAUAUUGAAACGCUAUCUCUCAUAUCACUUAACAAAGGCAAUAGAGGGUCGCGUGUUUCAGUAUAAUUAUAUUUCAGUGAUGUCACUUUAACUACAUAAUGUUGCUUUCCUUUUAGAACACAAUCGAUACUAUUUGUUUUAUUGAAUAAAUUUAUUGAAGAAGGAUAGAACAACGAUUGUGUAUCAAUCGUCUCCUAAAAGGAAAACAACCUAAGUAUAGAUUUUAAUUAAUAUUAACCUCGUGAGAUAUCAUAGGCCAAGAUGUAUUGCGACGCCGAACAGAAUUAAUUUUUGUAACGUAUUCUAUAGUGCUGUCUGUGAAAAAAGACUUUUCAUUUUUGUAUUUUCUGCGAAGAGGUAUUAAUUAGACAAAAAGGUAUAUAUACUAAGAUUCUAAAUAAUCAGAGAAUUGGUUUUGCGUCACGAUUUUUAAUCGAUGAUGCUUUUUAAUUAAAAGCCAUAUUAAUUGAACGUCAUUAUGUUGAAAAUUCGAUUCAGAUAAAAUAAUACUUCUAGAUGUAAGAAUAUAUGGUAUUCGCUCCCGAGAUGCGCAGUACUGAUCAAUCCAAGAGUUGUCCCAAAUGCAAAAAGCAUUAUGGCUUCUAUGAUCUGCGACAGAUUAAAAGUUGGUUUAUAAUAACAGAGAAAAACCUUUCUGAUAAUAGUAAUCUGUAAGUAUUGACUAAUCACCGUCAAAUGAGAGAAGAAUAAUUGAUUGAUCAAUUCUUACGGUAUAAGUUAAUAGAUUACGGUUAUUAAUCUCAAGUUAAGGAGUACUCCUGAGUAGUCACUUUAGCCAUAUUGAAUCGUGACGUCGUCAUAAGCGAGAAAUGACACGUUGAUUUUUCUUGCAUAUCAUUUAUAAAUAAAGAGAAUUUGGAUGAAACGAAAUGAUGAGAUCUAUUUAAAACACUUGUAAAAAUGAAAAUUAUCCUUAUCUCCCCUGACAAUAAAGAAUCGAAAAAAGUUCGUUUACGUAUCUUUUACGAUUAUUUACUGACUAUCAAAGGAGAUAAGGAUAGUUUUUCAUCCAUUUUUACAAGUGUUUUUACAAAUGUUUAUGACGUCAUGAUUUAAUAUAGUUGGAGUACUCUCAGUAGCCUUAAAUUAUAUAUUUCCACAAUGCUAUCGUGUCGCACUAUAUUUGAGGCUACAUUUCGAUUCACUAAAUUUGAUCCCACCAUCAUGCAUAAUGAAAUACCUUAUUCUUACAUCAUGUUCUUAGUGAUCGUCGGUUCUUGUAGUUGUACUUAUUUUCGCAAUGGUUCGUUUCGAAUUAAUUUCGGCAUAGGAACGGUGACUCGUGUUUAAAGAUCGAUAGGAGGAUAUAUUAAUUAUAAUUAAUACUCAUUUAAAUCCCCUUUACAUGUCUGCAUUCUCUCAGAAAAUACCAUAUAUUGUUUUUUAAUAGGGAUGGGCGACAUAUCGCCGAUACUUUGUCUUUUAAUUGAUGUACAUGAACAUUUGAACAGGAAUAUUAAUUUUUCGAUAUGAUCCGAUAAGUCCGUAUUUAGCCCGGAUUAAGAUCAGAAACUUAUUAUUUGUUACUUAUUAUACAUAUAUGGUAAGAAUACAAUAUAUAAUAAUA